AGUGAACGCUGGCGGUAGGCCUAACACAUGCAAGUCGAACGGUAGCACCGUAUGAGCGUGCUCUUACGGGUAGCGAGUGGCGGACGGGUGAGGAAUACAUCGGUAUCUACCUUUUCGUGUGGGAUAACGUAGGGAAACUUACGCUAAUACCGCCUACCACCUACGGGUGAAAUCAGGAGAUCUUCGGACCUUGCGCGAUCGCAUGAGCCGAUGUCGUAUUAGCUAGUUGGCGGGGUACAGGCCCACCAAGGCGACGCUCCGUAGCUGGUCUGAGAGGAUGAUCAGCCACACUGGAACUGAGACACGGUCCAGACUCCUACGGGAGGCAGCAGUGGGGAAUAUUGGACAAUGGGCGCAAGACUGAUCCAGCCAUACCGCGUGGGUGAAGAAGGCCUUCGGGUUGUAAAGCCCUUUUGUUGGGAAAGAAAAGCAGCAGGUUAAUACCCCGCUGUUCUGACGGUACCCAAAGAAUAAGCACCGGCUAACUUCGUG
RNAcentral lists this ribosomal RNA (492 nucleotides) under uncultured bacterium. RNAcentral's name for it is "partial 16S ribosomal RNA". It matches the Rfam family "Bacterial small subunit ribosomal RNA", at positions 29 to 507 of the family's 1533-position model. The record is from RNAcentral.